This is a long non-coding RNA of Centruroides sculpturatus (bark scorpion), 470 nucleotides long. RefSeq lists it as uncharacterized. The record is from RefSeq and is a predicted model, not a curated record. Lineage: Eukaryota; Metazoa; Arthropoda; Arachnida; Scorpiones; Buthidae. The transcript has 3 exons.
UUUAAUUCUAGUGAUAUAUUUAUUUAGAAAUUAUAAAUUUACUUAUAAAUAAUAAAUUUCAAUACUGUCCAUAAACAUUUAUUGUACUUUGGAAUAACCAUUUUCUUGGAAGAAUUAUCUAAACUAAUUUAAAUUCCAAUAUUUUAUAGAGACUCUUGACUAAAUUACAGGAAAGAUACUAGAAAAGUAAUUUAAAGGGAAGUAGAGAGAAGCGACAACCAGGAUCUAUAAUGAAAUUGAAGAAAAAGAAUGAGUGAUGUAAAAGAAAUAUGACAAACAUUAUUUAUGAAGAAUGAUAGCGCUUCAAACUCGAAUCUUCAAAAUAUCAUAAUGGAAUUUUCAAUAUUAAUUAUUAAGAUCAAUCAAUAUUAAUUUUGAACUUUAUAUCAUUAAAGUUCAAGUUUAAUACAAAUUUUUUGUGAGUUUUUUUGUCUUGAAUCACUUAUGAUGUUAACAAAAAUACUUCAUGA